GCAGUCUUCAAGCUUCCAUUAUCAGACAUGUAGAAAUAGUUGUAAUUAAUUCUAGUCACCAGAUCAGCCAAAUGAGGGAAUUGCCCCACAUUGAGUUUGAAAGACAAGAUUCUGAGAAGAAAGGCAAUGCAAUCAUCAAAACGUUUCUCGAUUCUAUCCACUUCCAUUUCACAUCUGGCCUUCAUUGCAGAAGUUGCACUGCC
RNAcentral lists this unclassified non-coding RNA (203 nucleotides) under Hevea brasiliensis (rubber tree). The record is from RNAcentral. Lineage: Eukaryota; Viridiplantae; Streptophyta; Magnoliopsida; Malpighiales; Euphorbiaceae.